Molecule: ribosomal RNA, 353 nt
Filed under: uncultured bacterium
Lineage: Bacteria
Description: bacterial SSU rRNA
Rfam family: Bacterial small subunit ribosomal RNA
Source: RNAcentral
AGAGUUUGAUCAUGGCUCAGGAUGAACGCUAGCUACAGGCUUAACACAUGCAAGUCGAGGGGCAUCAGUUUGGUUUGCUUGCAAACCAAAGCUGGCGACCGGCGCACGGGUGAGUAACACGUAUCCAACCUGCCUCAUACUCGGGGAUAGCCUUUCGAAAGAAAGAUUAAUAUCCGAUAGCAUAUAUUUCCCGCAUGGGUUUUAUAUUAAGAAAUUCGGUAUGAGAUGGGGAUGCGGUUCCAUUAGUUUGUUGGCGGGGUAACGGCCACCAAGACUACGAUGGAUAGGGGUCCUGAGAGGAAGGUCCCCCACAGUUGGAACCUGAGACACGGUCCAAACUCCUACGGGAGGCA